UGCCAGUGCCAGAGGCAGGUCAACGAACGAAUUCGUCAGUUUUUUCACUUCGCUCUCGCCCGCUGUUGAACUUGAUUCACAUUUUUAAAUAGCCAAUUACAUUUUUAUCAACGCUGCCAUGCCAUGCUUGGCUUCAAGUUCAUGCGUUCGAGGUCGAAAUCAUUUGCUCGUUUGUAAUGGAAUAUUAUAAUGUUUAUUAUAAAUGUGUUGUAAAUUAUUUGCAUUAAAACAGGAAGAGAAAUUUAAGCUAUAAGUCAACGAACUACCUAUUUUACUCGCAUCUAACCUCUCGUCGUAAAUCUCCCGAAGAUCAUCCAUUAAAAUUAACAACCGAGUUGACAAAACGAAGGGACAUUUGGAAAACUGUCUUUCUUAACUGGAGUCCAUUAGAAGGUACUAAAUAUCUAUCCGUCCGUCCAAUGGAGUGUUACAGAUAUUCAAUUUGUUUAUCCCAGACAUCUUUUUUCCCACAUCAUUAGCAAGGCUCACUCCGUAUUCUGAAGAUAUUCUAUGGCAGGGGACUACCAAUGUGGCUUUCGUGUUGGAAGGUCAACAUUAGAUCAAAUAUUUACGAUUCGACAAAUAUUAGAAAAAAACUGGGAAUUCAACCGAGAUGUACACCAAGUUUUCGUACAUUUCCAGCAAGCAUAUGAUUUGAUAAAAAGAAGCAGACUAUGGCUAGCAACGUUAGAAAUAGGAAUACCAAGAAAUUUAAAUUUAGCUAACUGAAACGUGUGUGACAGACUCAUAUGCACAGGUAAGAAUAAGAAACAGAACAUCGAUACCAUUUAGUAUGACAUCAGGACUUAGACAAGGAGACCCCUUAUUAGCUUUGCCAUUCAAUUUGGUCUUAGAAUAUGCAAUAAGUAACGUAUUAUAUCCAAGCUGCGAAUCGAGGAUCAAAACUAGUGUUGGCCUUUACUGAUGAUCUAAAUGCAGUUGCUCAUUUUACAAGAGACGCAAGAGAAGUGUUUCCGAACUCGAGGAAGAAACAGAUAGUCUGAGCCUUUGAAUAAAUGAAGAGAAGACGAAAUACAUGCUGGUAACCAAAAAUCCAAGACUAAGAAAUAGGCUUACUAUUAACUAUUAAUGGUCAUAACUAGUAGUGGAAGAAGAUAACCACAACUACAAGAAGUAGUAGAAGUAGAGAAUUAGUAAUAGCUAUUUGUAUAACAAGGGAGGAAAGUGCUACUUUUCCUCCCGAGAAUGAAGUUUACUGCCCGACGCGUAGCGGAGCGCAGUAAUCAUUCAAGGGAGGAAAAGGCACUUUACUCCCAUGUUAUACAUAUGGUUUUUCCACCUUCCUCAAAUAACAAGUAAUUUUUUCAUUUUUACUUAAUUUAUUUAUGUAACUAACCAACAAAAUUUAUUAGAACUAAAACUAACAAGUACGUACAAUAUAACUGUCAACUGUCAAAUAUAAGUCAAAUUAUUAAUGUAAACAUUGUUAAAUCAGAAUAACAAUUUACUGUUUUUUACCAUUCUGCAAAAUACAGAGUGUUUUUAAAUAAACGUUAAAAUGUAUAGAUA
Long non-coding RNA from Diabrotica virgifera virgifera (western corn rootworm), 1530 nucleotides. RefSeq lists it as uncharacterized. The transcript is spliced from 3 exons. The record is from RefSeq and is a predicted model, not a curated record. NCBI's taxonomy places the organism in Eukaryota, Metazoa, Arthropoda, Insecta, Coleoptera, Chrysomelidae.